RNAcentral lists this small RNA (251 nucleotides) under Tursiops truncatus (common bottlenose dolphin). Its description in RNAcentral is "7SK RNA (ENSTTRG00000024982.1)". The stretch from base 119 to 251 matches the Rfam family "7SK RNA", at positions 199 to 331 of the family's 331-position model. Rfam says of the family: 7SK was discovered as an abundant small nuclear RNA in the mid-70s but a possible function has only recently been suggested. The record is from RNAcentral. Lineage: Eukaryota; Metazoa; Chordata; Mammalia; Artiodactyla; Delphinidae.
UGCUGAUGGGCUGUCUUAUAUACAGCAGGGUGAGAGCCAUGAGGGAGUACACUCAGUAGUUACCCUUGCUUCAGUACCAAAGGCACAAUGCCGUGUGCUGGAGUUAGGAAUGGAAUGCUAUAUGCGCUUCCCUGCUAGAACCUCCGAACAAGCUCUCAAGGUCCAUUUGUAGGAGAACGUAGAGUAGUCAAGCUUCCAAGACUCCAGACACACCCAAAUGAGGUGCUGAAUGUGGAACACUAUAACGAUCU